UAUUGCUCAAUGGGGGAAACCCUUACGUAGCAACGCCGCGUGAGUGAUGAAGGCCUUCUGGUCGUAAAACUCUGUCCCAAGGUAAGAAUAAUGACGGUACCCUAGGCGGCAGCCCCGGCUAACUACGUGCCAGCAGCUGCGGUAUUACGUAGGGGGCAAGCGUUAUCCGGAAUCACUGGGCGGAAAGGGUUCGUAGGCGGCCAAUAAAGUCAGGGGUGAAAGGCUACGGCUUAACCGUAGUAAGCCUUUGAAACUUAUUGGCUUGAGUACAGGAGAGGUAAGUGGAAUUCCUAGUGUAGCGGUGAAAUGCGUAGAUAUUAGGAGGAACACCAGUGGCGAAGGCGACUUACUGGACUGUAACUGACGCUGAGGCACGAAAGCGUGGGGAGCGAACAG
This 396-nucleotide ribosomal RNA is filed under the name uncultured bacterium. Its description in RNAcentral is "partial 16S ribosomal RNA". It matches the Rfam family "Bacterial small subunit ribosomal RNA", at positions 362 to 775 of the family's 1533-position model. The record is from RNAcentral.